GAAAAAUCCUAAGAUGCAUUCAUUGAUUCUUCUUCUUCACCUCUUUGUUGUUCAAAUUUUCCAUUUCUAUUUGCAAGGCUCAAUACUUUUUGCCCCACUAGAAGCCAAAGGAAUGGGAAAACCUGCCUUUUACUUUUUAUGAUAGACUCUAAUGCUUUGCAACAUUUGCCUCUCAAACCCAAGAUCUAGAAGUGAAUAAUAGGUACACCUCCCAUUACAUGGUAACAUAUCCAAUCUUUGUAGGCUCAUGCACACAUUAGAAACUCCCCCAUGACACUCUGUACCGAGUAAACUAAUAUUUUCUAUUUCCACAAACUAACAUGCACAUCAAUCACAACCCUAUCAAAUUGAACACUAGGAGAAGAAUCUACCAUUCUUGUAUGCAUACUAGUGCAAGCACACAUGCAAAAGAUACAAACAAAGCCCCCCAUCAUUGUAGUCUGCCAUAUGAAGUAACAUAUCCUGUUCCUAUACUAUAGAAACACAUGAAAAAGUAAAGCUAAACCCACCAAUAUCACAAUAAUUAAUCUAUCCUUAAUAUAUUACACAUUUAGACUAAUAACAUACCCGUUCUGUACAUAAACUAAUGCACCUCCAGUAUACGCAUUUCAUCUAUGCUUAUCCCCAUACUUCUGCGUAUCAGACUAAGUUAUGGAAACGAUUUGUGUAAAAGUAUCAUGAACCAAAAAUACAUCAUAAAUGAAC
This 705-nucleotide unclassified non-coding RNA is filed under the name Hevea brasiliensis (rubber tree). Lineage: Eukaryota; Viridiplantae; Streptophyta; Magnoliopsida; Malpighiales; Euphorbiaceae. The record is from RNAcentral.